GGGGAAGUGGUUAUGAAACCUCCAGAGGGUUACCCCCUCCGCCCAGUUAUGUUAUGCAAUCCAGAAAGGGCUACAUAAGGGCCAAAGAGUCUUCGUCGCAGUCCCGCUAUUCCCUGCCUCAUCCAUCUACUGGCGGGGCUACUUAUACCCAUGGAAACCUGCAAAGAGUUGACGUGACUGCAAAGACAACAGAUCCCAUCGUGUCAAGAAUCCAUAAAGGAGGCCAAUCUGAUAAUUGACAGCAAGUCCUUUCUUUGUAUUGAGAGUGCUGUUUUCAGAAGUGAGAAAUUGUGGACCUACAUUCUGCUGUUUAAGAUUUGACCCAAUCACCAUGUUUCUUGUUUCCUAUCUCAGUGUACGGUUAAGAGGUCUAUGGUCUAGAUUUUCAAUCACAAAAGGCUUGUAUACCAUGUAACUAAACAUUUUAACUGUGAUUCAUUACUUUGACACCAUUCUUCUGCAUAAUCUUAAUCUGUCCAAAUACUUUUGGACAGCCCAAGGGGGUUGAGAAAUGUAACGGGUUGUGGAGUCGUUUAGUCUUGUAUAACAGGAAAAACUCCUCAAAUUAAAGAUUAUGGUUUA
Molecule: long non-coding RNA, 582 nt
Organism: Lampris incognitus (smalleye Pacific opah)
Lineage: Eukaryota; Metazoa; Chordata; Actinopteri; Lampriformes; Lampridae
Exons: 3
Source: RefSeq, a predicted model, not a curated record